RNAcentral lists this ribosomal RNA (453 nucleotides) under uncultured Porphyromonadaceae bacterium. RNAcentral describes it as "partial 16S ribosomal RNA". It matches the Rfam family "Bacterial small subunit ribosomal RNA", at positions 341 to 792 of the family's 1533-position model. Lineage: Bacteria; Pseudomonadati; Bacteroidota; Bacteroidia; Bacteroidales; Porphyromonadaceae. The record is from RNAcentral.
ACGGAAGGCAGCAGUGAGGAAUAUUGGUCAAUGGGCGGAAGCCUGAACCAGCCAAGUCGCGUGAAGGAUGAAGGUAUUAUGUAUUGUAAACUUCUUUAGCAGCAGGGUAAUAAGGUCCUCGUGAGGACCGAUGCAAGUAUGCUGAAAAUAAGGAUCGGCUAACUCCGUGCCAGCAGCCGCGGUAAUACGGAGGAUCCGAGCGUUAUCCGGAUUUAUUGGGUUUAAAGGGUGCGCAGGCGGCUUUUUAAGUCAGCGGUAAAAUCGUGGGGCUCAACCCCAUCCUGCCGUUGAUACUGGAGAGCUUGAUGGCGGUUGAGGUUGGCGGAAUUCGUCGUGUAGCGGUGAAAUGCAUAGAUAUGACGAAGAACACCGAUUGCGUAGGCAGCUGACCAAGCCGUAAAUGACGCUCAUGCACGAAAGUGCGGGGAUCGAACAGGAUUAGAUACCCUGGUA